GUCAACGAUCAUACCAUGUUGAAAACACCGGUUCUCGUCCGAUCACCGAAGUUAAGCAACAUCGGGCGCGAUUAGUACUUAGAUGGGUGACCGCUUGAAACGUCGCGUGUCGUGGCAU
RNAcentral lists this ribosomal RNA (118 nucleotides) under Culex quinquefasciatus (southern house mosquito). Lineage: Eukaryota; Metazoa; Arthropoda; Insecta; Diptera; Culicidae. The record is from RNAcentral.